UCCCUGGCAGUUCAGUGGUUGGGACUCUGCACUUCCACUGCAGGGGGAACAGGUUCAAUCCCUAGUCAGGGAA
Molecule: transfer RNA, 73 nt
Filed under: Bos taurus (domestic cattle)
Lineage: Eukaryota; Metazoa; Chordata; Mammalia; Artiodactyla; Bovidae
Also listed under: 4 other names
Rfam family: tRNA
About the family: Transfer RNA (tRNA) molecules are approximately 80 nucleotides in length. Their secondary structure includes four short double-helical elements and three loops (D, anti-codon, and T loops).
Source: Rfam by way of RNAcentral